RNAcentral lists this ribosomal RNA (18 nucleotides) under Camarosporium quaternatum. RNAcentral's name for it is "partial 28S ribosomal RNA". RNAcentral also lists the same sequence under 1 other name. The record is from RNAcentral. Lineage: Eukaryota; Fungi; Ascomycota; Dothideomycetes; Pleosporales.
CUUGACCUCGGAUCAGGU